AACGAACGCUGGCGGCGCGCCUAAUACAUGCAAGUCGAGCGAGAAGACGUAGCAAUACGUUUGUAAAGCGGCGAACGGGUGAGGAAUACAUGGGUAACCUACCCUCGAGUGGGGAAUAACUAGCCGAAAGGUUAGCUAAUACCGCGUACGCUCCUUGGACUUCGGUUCAGGGAGGAAAGCGAUACCGUGGGUAUCGCGCUCUUGGAUGGGCUCAUGUCCUAUCAGCUUGUUGGUGAGGAACGGCUCACCAAGGCUUCGACGGGUAGCUGGUCUGAGAGGACGAUCAGCCACACUGGCACUGCGACACGGGCCAGACUCCUACGGGAGCAGCAGUAAGGAAUAUUGCGCAAUGGGCGAAAGCCUGACGCAGCGACGCCGCGUGGGGGAUGAAU
This 392-nucleotide ribosomal RNA is filed under the name uncultured bacterium. RNAcentral describes it as "bacterial SSU rRNA". It matches the Rfam family "Bacterial small subunit ribosomal RNA", at positions 29 to 413 of the family's 1533-position model. The record is from RNAcentral.